This 458-nucleotide ribosomal RNA is filed under the name uncultured bacterium. RNAcentral's name for it is "SSU rRNA". It matches the Rfam family "Bacterial small subunit ribosomal RNA", at positions 26 to 518 of the family's 1533-position model. The record is from RNAcentral.
AGAACGAACGCUGGCGGCAUGCCUCAUACAUGCAAGUCGAACGCUCUACAGGCUUCGGUCUGUGGGGAGUGGCGCACGGGUGAGUAGCGCGUGGGAACCUGCCCAACAGUGGGGGAUAACCGAUGGAAACGUCGGCUAAUACCGCAUGUGCCCCGGGGGCAACUCGGGGGGAAAGAUUUAUCGCUGUUGGAGGGGCCCGCGUCGGAUUAGCUAGUUGGUGGGGUAACGGCCUACCAAGGCUUUGAUCCGUAGCUGGUCUGAGAGGAUGAUCAGCCACACUGGGACUGAGACACGGCCCAGACUCCUACGGGAGGCAGCAGUAGGGAAUAUUGGACAAUGGGGGAAACCCUGAUCCAGCAAUGCCGCGUGAGUGAGGAAGGCCUAGGGUUGUAAAGCUCUUUCGCACGCGACGAUGAUGACGGUAGCGUGAGAGAGCCCGCUACUCGCGCAGCAGCCGC